RNAcentral lists this ribosomal RNA (497 nucleotides) under uncultured bacterium. RNAcentral's name for it is "partial 16S ribosomal RNA". It matches the Rfam family "Bacterial small subunit ribosomal RNA", at positions 28 to 507 of the family's 1533-position model. The record is from RNAcentral.
GACGAACGCUGGCGGCGUGCCUAAUACAUGCAAGUAGAACGCUGAAGCGAGGAGCUUACUCUUCUUGGAUGAGUUGCGAACGGGUGAGUAACGCGUAGGUAACCUGCCUUGUAGCGGGGGAUAACUAUUGGAAACGAUAGCUAAUACCGCAUAACAAUGGAUGACACAUGUCAUUUAUUUGAAAGGGGCAAUUGCUCCACUACAAGAUGGACCUGCGUUGUAUUAGCUAGUAGGUGAGGUAAUGGCUCACCCAGGCGACGAUACAUAGCCGACCUGAGAGGGUGAUCGGCCACACUGGGACUGAGACACGGCCCAGACUCCUACGGGAGGCAGCAGUAGGGAAUCUUCGGCAAUGGGGGCAACCCUGACCGAGCAACGCCGCGUGAGUGAAGAAGGUUUUCGGAUCGUAAAGCUCUGUUGUAAGUCAAGAACGGGUGUGAGAGUGGAAAGUUCACACUGUGACGGUAGCUUACCAGAAAGGGACGGCUAACUACGUG